GUAGGGAAUCUUGCGCAAUGGGCGAAAGCCUGACGCAGCCAUGCCGCGUGAAUGAUGAAGGUCUUAGGAUUGUAAAAUUCUUUCACCGGGGACGAUAAUGACGGUACCCGGAGAAGAAGCCCCGGCUAACUUCGUGUCAGCAGCCGCGGUAAUACGAAGGGGGCUAGCGUUGCUCGGAAUUACUGGGCGUAAAGGGCGCGUAGGCGGACAGUUUAGUCAGAGGUGAAAGCCCAGGGCUCAACCUUGGAAUUGCCUUUGAUACUGGCUGUCUUGAGUACGGGAGAGGUGAGUGGAACUCCGAGUGUAGAGGUGAAAUUCGUAGAUAUUCGGAAGAACACCAGUGGCGAAGGCGACUCACUGGCCCGUUACUGACGCUGAGGCGCGAAAGCGUGGGGAGCAAACAGGAUUAGAAACCCCAGUAGUCC
This 425-nucleotide ribosomal RNA is filed under the name uncultured bacterium. RNAcentral describes it as "partial 16S ribosomal RNA". It matches the Rfam family "Bacterial small subunit ribosomal RNA", at positions 354 to 796 of the family's 1533-position model. The record is from RNAcentral.